RNAcentral lists this ribosomal RNA (301 nucleotides) under uncultured bacterium. RNAcentral describes it as "partial 16S ribosomal RNA". It matches the Rfam family "Bacterial small subunit ribosomal RNA", at positions 509 to 807 of the family's 1533-position model. The record is from RNAcentral.
CAGCCGCCGCGGGAAUACGUAGGGUGCAAGCGUUAAUCGGAAUUACUGAGCGUAAAGCGUGCGCAGGCGGUGUUGUAAGACUGAUGUGAAAUCCCCGGGCUCAACCUGGGAACUGCAUUGGUGACUGCAACGCUGGAGUGCGACAGAGGGGGAUGGAAUUCCGCGUGUAGCAGUGAAAUGCGUAGAUAUGCGGAGGAACACCGAUGGCGAAGGCAAUCCCCUGGGCCUGCACUGACGCUCAUGCACGAAAGCGUGGGGAGCAAACAGGAUUAGAUACCCCUGUAGUCCCUGUCUCUUAUAC